Molecule: long non-coding RNA, 3876 nt
Filed under: Androctonus crassicauda
Lineage: Eukaryota; Metazoa; Arthropoda; Arachnida; Scorpiones; Buthidae
Source: RNAcentral
CACCCACCACCCAAGUACCCUUGACUAAUAGUCCACACAGUAAACGUAGGAGAUUUAUGUAAGUGUUUCUUCUCUUUCCAUCCCCCGUUAAGUGUCUUAAGUGGUUAUCUUAUGUAGUAUAUGCCUUUCUAGCUUACUUGGUCUAAACUCUAUUACGUAUUGUCUUGUGCUUACCGUACACGUCGCGGUGUGUGUAACGUUAUCUGUAAAGAUCAGUUGUCUCCAAAGUGUUGCGAAAAAUAAAACACGCGUGUCCGAAUUCGCAAACGUCUCUCUCUGCCACGCUAAUUAAUGCGGUUAUUAAAACUAGUUAUCUGCAAAAUUCAUCGGAAUCUAACCGCGCAACGUUCAUAAACUCGUGCAUUAACGCGAUUAAACUUCCAAACUGAUAAGUUGUUACGGUUUAAUUAAUAACUUUAAAUAAAAUAAUAAAAGGAUCGAAUUUAUUGAAAGUGUGCGUGAUUGUUUUGUAUAUUAAUCAUUAUCUGUCAGGCAAUGAAUAAUUGUCAAACAGGAAUAUGAAUGCCCGCCGUCACUUUAUGAAUGAAUUAUUUCGCAUACAUUUCGACACAUUAUUAUUUGUUUAAUAGUUUUUAAAACGUAAUCGUCUUGGUUGGUCAUCGAAAAAUUCCGAUUCGUUCAACGGAGGGAUUAAAAAAGUUUACCAGUAACGAAAAGUUAGGAAAGAGCUCUCGACAUUUUUAUAAAAUUAAUUUCUUCGAUAGUCGUGUUUCGCCCCGAGCGGUUUUCGGGAGUUUCACUUUCUCUAAUCUUUUGUAAAGAAUGGGAAGAAAAAAGGAAAGUGAAAAGAAAGGAUAGGUGUAAAUUUAUGUCAUGGGAAAAAUAUUCGGAAUAUUUUAAGAACACUAGAAAACGCUUCCUCAUCACUCUCGAUGAAAAUGGGACAUUUGUUAACUCCCUUCAUUAUGUAAGUAAUGGCGCUGCUUUAUUGUUUAUGGCAAUAAGAAAAGGUAAAAAAAGAAGUUUCCCGGCCAUCCUCUCUUUUUUUGUUAUGGCAGAUAAAUGUGCCAAGAUCUAAAGCUAAGUUGGCAUGUCGUUGAAUUUGGCCAGUAGAAAGAGAGAAGAUAUUUACAGGUAGGAAGAGAAAUCUCAGUGUGAGAUUGUUCUACCGGCCAUUUACUGGCAGAAGGAGUGAGCGAAACGGGGGAACCAUUAGGACACAACCAACAAUGGUAUCACGACCCACUCCUAUCACACUGCAACAUUAGUCGCUUUUUUUUCUUCUUCUUCUACUCUUCCCCCCUCUUUCCACUGCACACUCUAGUUGGCAGUAAUGGCGGAAUCCGUGCUCCCCGGAGGCGGCAACAUCACCUGCCCCAUUACCGGUAAUUAUCUCCGGAGAUCCUAGACUAUCGAUCCACCUGAUAGAUAUAUAUAGCCAGGAAAAGCCACUCGAAAAUGACCGGUUUUAAGAACUAACCAUCGCUCACGUCGCAUCACGUUCCGAUGUAAACACCUUCACUCUGCUGCCCCGAAAAUCUCAGCGACUCAGACGUGCUUUAUAAAGAUACCAACCGAUUUUUUUUUUCCCUUCAUCUUGACUGAUAGCCAACGGUUCGCUUCGUCAAUCUGAUAGAAUACAUAUAUGUUUGUGUUUGUGUACUGCUAUUGAUAUUUAAACAUUCUCUCUCUCUCCUGUUGUUGUUGUUGAUGUUGCUGCUGCUGCUGCUAUAAGAUCUUUUCAACAUUCGUGACCGACCGUUCCCCUCGUCCGGUUUGGUGCGUGGAUGGGAAUAUUAUGUUUCUCAACCCCCGUUUGUCGAUCACGGUUAUUGGGUUAACGGGUUACUUCGGUACGUAACCGCUCUAUCAGAAUUAUCUGUUGCGAAUACGUAACGUCGAAUGCGAAAUUUCGAUAUAAUUACACUUUUUUUUUCCCCCUAUCAAUCGAUCAAAUAUCUUUCGUGUAUCCAUUGUUGCAAUGUAGAAACAGAUCUGAAGUUCUUACAUAUAAUGCCUCGGAGGUAGAAAUUGUGGAUCAUCCGAGACUUUCUAUAUUGUCUCAUGAUUGAUGAUGGCAAUCUGAGGUUAAACACGGGAAUUCUGCUUGGCGAUUGAUAACCCAGUCGAGUAAAUAAAUAGAUCAAUUUUGUUAACGUUUAUUUAUUUACAGUAUUUAUAUUUUUUUGGUGUUUUUAUUCUAAAGACGCGACUCGACGUUAUAAAUCUCUAAACGCGGACGUUAAACGGGGUAUCGGAUAAUAUAUAUAAAUAUAAAUUUAAAGUCUGUUCAUUGUUAUGCCGAAUCCAUAAGCGCUAUUAAUUUUUAAAAUGUUUAAAUUGUGUAAUUUCGGAGACCACAUUUCGAGUGAAUGCUAAUGAUACGGGAGAGCAUUGUCUUGGUAGUCAUUAUUCAUUGAUGUUAUCUGUUUCCAUUGUGCACACGUGUAAUGAACCGAGCCUUUUAAUAGAUUUAUGUAAUUCUUUUACAUUAAAUAUUUGUGUUGAGUUCCAACAGUCGAUGAUCCUUUCUAGGCUAUUUUAUUCUCUUCUUCAGUUUUUUUGUAUCGUCCGAUUUUUUUCUAGACGGUCGAAAGUGGGGAUGACAAAAAUUCUGCUGUUUAGAAAUCAACGCGAAAGGGGUACAACUUCCUGAUAAUAUUGCAACAUCUCCGAGCAAUAGAGAGUAGGAAAAAAAUUCGCAUUUUCUACGGGGGCUAAGUUCAAGUACGUUUUUAUGAAUUACUGUGCUUACACGCGUGUUUCUUUCCCUCUUACUAAAGCGAAACAAGGAUUUUUUUUUUCUUCUACAGUUAAAUGAAUUGAUACUAUUUUAAGACAAUAGCGAGUACCGAGCGAACAAGAACAUAUUUUCUACGUGCCAUAAAGUAUGUCGAAGUACAACAUCGAAUUUUAAACUCUGUUGCCAUCUUCAAGUGCGAGUUAUAAAUUGUGUCUGAUAACUGAUCUUUACAGAAUUUUUCUGUAUGGUUUAAAUUGCAGUUUACCUCUCUUUUUCUCUCUCAACCAGGAGAUGACGGUGAUGAUAACUUCUACCACUCCUUGUUUACCAUUCGCAGUCAAUGUUAAAAAUAAGCAUGUACAUUUUCCAAGUAUGGUAAUGUAAAAAAAUAGUCUGAUAUUGCGAGGAAAAGUUGUCGGAUUCGUUUGUCUCGUACAUCAUUUCUGAUGUCCUUGACCAAGGAACUACACAACACGUCAGAGCCAAGCGGAAUUAAAUUACGUUUAUUCUACAUGUACUAAAAUUUAUACAUCAUCUUUAAAAUAAUGGACACCGUAAUAGCCUCUAAUAUACGACCAACGGAGUUGGAGCUAAAAAUUCGCUUUUAGCUAUCCAUUAAAUAUAAUAACGAAAGGAAGAAGAGGAGGAAAUUUUAUUCGCAUUUUUCCCAUUUGCAUCUAGAUUAAGUAAAGGUUACAUUUUCACUAUUCGUAAUGUUUUUAUUUUAUUUAAAAAAAAAUAAAAGUAAGCUGCGGAUUUCUGAAAAUUAUGUGUAGCCAGUUGAUAGAAAAGGGAUUCGUUGCACUCAAAAACGUUUUAGAUAUUAAGAAAUUCAGUUUGAGGAAUGUAAAAACUGAGAAUUCUUUACGUAUCUCUAUUGAUAACCUUUCGCUAUAAUUAAUUGAAUGCACGUUUUGUUAUCUGUUUAUAUAAGACCAAUGCCAGCCAAAAAUGGAUUCUUUCAACCAAGAAUAUUAUAAUGUUCGCUUAUUUAUCCAUGUUUGAUUUUCUUGUUAUAAAAAGAAAAAAAAAACUAAAACCGUUAAUUUGUUGGUGAAUGUGGGGUUAAAACAGAAUUUAUUUUCCAUUAGAGAAAGAGAGAGAGGAUUUUUGUGUUAUUAAAUUUAUAAUGUUACAAGUUUUUCUCCUCGGCUACACUAGAUUUAAAAAUU